GCGGAAGACAAAAUACGGAGUUGAACCCUAGCCUCAGCUCUGCCCCGUCAGCACCGACCAAUCAACCUGAAAACAUUUGAAAGAAAUUUUGGGCUAAGUACUAAUGUACUUAGUGGCUAGCAUUUUAUAAUAUUUCAUAAUCAUAAGAGCAGUUUAUCCAAUUAUACUUUACAUGACGUUAGAAGGUUUUUAAAACUAAAAUAAACUUCUAAGUCAUGUUAAAACAUUUUAUAAUAUUGCGCGCAAUUGUCACACUCCCUUUCCGUUACUCGCUGUGAUCCCGGACCUUUUAGCCACCGACGGAUCCAUUACUCCUGCUUUACUUGGACUGAGGGCGUAACCCAGCCAAGCUCCCAUUUGGGACCCAAUGCUCCGGAACACAUCCCGUCGAGCACCCUUAUAACGCCUCAUACAUGAUUAGUGCCCGAUGGAGAUCAACCACCGAGUCAGCUAAUAGGUGUACACAAUUCUCAAACAACGUGUUAGGUCAUAAGAGAACCUCGAUCGAUUAACUUAUGCGAGCCUUAAACAGAGCAGAGUGCACAAAAAUAUUUAUUGGAUAAACAGUUUUCAUUUCAUUGAAAUAUUUAAGCUCAAUAGCUAAAUCAUACAUUUGGAAAAUAAGCCCACCUGAAUAGGCAAAGCCUGUCGUUUAUUCUUAACUCUGAAUUGGUAUAGCAGUGCUAGUCCUCACGAUCCACAAAGCCUACAAGAAAUCUAUAAUCUUAAUAGGUCUCCUGAAUCUAAUCUUAAGUCAUAGUGAAGUGCUUAAUAUUCUAUGAUUCAUUUAGCCGGUUUUCAAAAUUUAAUGAAUAAAUAAUUGAAAAUAUUUCUCUUGAGUUAAGAACACCAACAAUAUUCUUACUCAUCUUUCUUUAAUAAUUGAAAUUAUAAUAAAACCAAUUAAAUCAUAAAUAUUCUUAUUGCAAAAUAUAAUGCAAAUCAUGUCAUGCUUUACAUAUAAUAAGUAAUUACUUAAAAUAUGCACAUAAUAAUAAUAUAAUAUUAUUAUGAAAAUUAUCCUUUAAAUAAAUUAAUCAAACUAAUAAUAGUUCAAUUAAUUAAAAAUAAGAAAGCCCAAUUUAAUUAAUUGAAGGCAAAUUAAAAUCCUUAAAUAAAAUAAGGCCCAACAAAUUUAUUAAUUAAUAGCCCAACUGAAACAAAAAUAAAUAAAAUCUCGGCCCAAAUACUCAUAAAAAUCGGCCCAUGACUCGAGCCCACUCUAAUUAAAAUCGGCCCACAACUCGAGCCCACUCUAAUUAAAAUCGGCCCACUACCAAGCCCAUCACUCAAACCCAACCCCAAAGCCCAACCCUCACCAAGCCCUACCACCCCCACCCUCUUCUUCUCCCCCCAUAAAUCGCACAACACUCACACACACUUAGCAGCUGCGCAGCAGCACUCUUCUCUCCCUCUCUCGGCUCCCUCAAAUUUCCGCCGCCACGGCUCCUCCUCCGGCGACUGGCCGCCGCCCGCCGAAUCACCACAUCAUCUUCCUCUCUCCUUUACUUUGGUUCCACCAGACCCCCUUCUCCCUCAUCCUCACUUCACGCCAAACCCCCUUCUCCCUCAUCCUCACUCAUCAAACUGACUCGCCACCGUGGAGACUCGCCGGAGACGCAGCAGCGACGAGCCACCGCUACCAGCUUUCUCUCUGACAGUAGCCGAGCACAGCGGCACCUCCUUCCUCUCGAAUCCGGCGACCACAGGACAUCCAUGGCCGCCGCCUGAACUCCCUCCGCUGAACUCCGGCUGCCACGACCAGUAGCUGGUCGCCGCCCAUUCUCCUCUCCUCUGGUCAGACAACAACAGCCCCACGGUAACUGCUGCUGCUCUCGACCACCUCCAUCUAUCCUUGACAACGGCGAAGCGCCGCUGCCCCCUUCAAGUCCUCCGGCAGUCGCAGCGAGCGAGCUGCGAUACAUCUCUCUCCGCCCUUGGCCGAGCAGCAACGGCGAGUCACCGUCGUGCCCAGCCUCUCUCCAAAAUCUCGACUCACUCCCGACUCUCUUUCUCUAUGUGAGAACAGAGUACCACAGACAACCCUCAAUUUCCGGCAACCGCAACGAAGUCACGGCCGUGGCCCUUCCCGACUCGACACAGCAAGCAAAACUAAAGCUUAAUACUUUUCUUUCUUUCGUUUAUUAACUAGACUUGAAAACUAUUUAGUACUUGCUUAUGCACAUACAUGAAUGUAUAUAUAUAUAUAUAAAUAUAUGCAUAUAUCUGUGAGAUGAUGAAUAUGGAUUUGUUUCUCUGCUUUAGGCUCAAUUAGCACAGGAAGUAAACUAAUUGAGUUAGAAUUAUAACCUUUUGAUGAGGUUUCGGCUGGUGUUUGUUGUUGUAUUUGUUGUUGUUUACUAAGCUUCUGUGAAUGGAGUUCUGUGAAUGGAGUUGUACAAGAAUUUCAGAUGUUGCUUUAUUCAAAAAUUUGCAAGAGAGACAAGGAAAAAAAAAAAAUGAAAGAAUUUCAAAGUUCCAAACUUACAUGGGCAGUGGCGUUUUUUUUUUAGAGAGAGAGAGCUUGGAAGUUGCUGAAGGUUGUAAGAAUUAAAUUAUGAAAUUAUGAUUGCAGUUCUUACCUCUGCACUUGUUCCUUGGUAUGUAGGAGAAAUGGUGAGUGGAAGGGAAUGAGUAUUAUGGCUAAAGUUUAUUUUGGUGGGGGGCAAAGUAUGGUGUGAAGUGUGAGUGGGGAGAGUGGAAAGUGUGAGUGGGUAGUGAUGUUAACGUUGGUGGUGGAAGUAAUGAAUUGGUGAGUAGUGUAGCACCAUUGAUGAGUAGUGGAUUGAGGAUGAGAUAUGGGAGGAUUUUAUUAGUCUGCAUAAAUACAUGUAUGCUAAAAAUAAUCAUGAUAUAGGGUGGCUAUUAGGAACAUAAAUAAUAUAUCGGGACUGUAAUAAUACUUCAGGGUUCGAAAAAAAUAGCUCGUGAAAGAUUGCUAA
Molecule: long non-coding RNA, 2942 nt
Filed under: Salvia miltiorrhiza (redroot sage)
Lineage: Eukaryota; Viridiplantae; Streptophyta; Magnoliopsida; Lamiales; Lamiaceae
Description: long non-coding RNA (SMIL_LNC012115)
Source: RNAcentral